UGCCGGCGAGUGGCGAACGGGUGAGUAAUAUAUCGGAACGUACCUUCAGGUGGGGAUAACGUGCGAAAGUUCGCUAAUACCGCAUAUUCUGUGAGCAGGAAAGCAGGGGAUUCGCAAGACCUUGCGCUGAUUGAGCGGCCGAUAUCAGAUUAGCUAGUUGGUGAGGUAAAGGCUCACCAAGGCGACGAUCUGUAGCGGGUCUGAGAGGAUGAUCCGCCACACUGGAACUGAGACACGGUCCAGACUCCUACGGGAGGCAGCAGUGGGGAAUUUUGGACAAUGGGCGCAAGCCUGAUCCAGCCAUGCCGCGUGAGUGAAGAAGGCCUUCGGGUUGUAAAGCUCUUUCGGCCGGGAAGAAAUCGCACGGGUUAAUACCCUGUGUGGAUGACGGUACCGGAAUAAGAAGCACCGGCUAACUACGUG
This 423-nucleotide ribosomal RNA is filed under the name uncultured bacterium. RNAcentral's name for it is "bacterial SSU rRNA". It matches the Rfam family "Bacterial small subunit ribosomal RNA", at positions 86 to 507 of the family's 1533-position model. The record is from RNAcentral.